RNAcentral lists this ribosomal RNA (259 nucleotides) under uncultured bacterium. Its description in RNAcentral is "partial 16S ribosomal RNA". It matches the Rfam family "Bacterial small subunit ribosomal RNA", at positions 15 to 257 of the family's 1533-position model. The record is from RNAcentral.
GAUCCUGGCUCAGGAUGAACGCUGGCGGCGUGCUUAACACAUGCAAGUCGAACGGGAAAUACUUUAUUGAAACUUCGGUGGAUUUAAUUUAUUUCUAGUGGCGGACGGGUGAGUAACGCGUGGGUAACCUGCCUUAUACCGGGGGAUAACAGCCAGAAAUGACUGCUAAUACCGCAUAAGCGCACAGAACCGCAUGGUUCGGUGUGAAAAACUCCGGUGGUAUAAGAUGGACCCGCGUUGGAUUAGCUAGUUGGCAGGG